CAAAUCAUACUGCUGUGUAAUCAGUAUAUGUUCCAAAUAUGUUCUCAUGACAAAAUUCAAUGGUCCAUUGGCUCGAUACAUAACUAUAACCUUUAGUUCAAUACAUAAGCAAACCAAAUUAGUCUACCAUCUCUGUCUAAGAAUUCUUUGUCCAAUAUACCAAAGAUUAUAUACCAAAGAAUCUGUAACCUAUACCAAAGAUAUGUCUCAUGUAUUCUAUAGAAAAAACAGACUUUCAUAGCAGCUAUUUCUAUAGAAAAAAAAGCUACUUCAUAGCAGCCGGGGCUGAAUAAGCAUCACCCAUUUGUAACUAAACUGCAAAACAACAGAAGUAGCUUAACAUUACAGAAGCAGCAACUUUUUUUUUAAUGACAAAACUGACAGAAUCUUAUAAGAUUUAAAAUUGUUCAAUGAACAAAAACAUUACAGCAAAUGAAAAACUCAAUUCUGCAGCAAACAGUUACAUAUGAUCUUAUUCUCACAUCACAAUAGCUCUGUAAUCUGCAUAACAAUUCAGGAUCUGCCACAUGCAUAAUCACCUUAAUUAGGAGUUCAAUUUCUGUGAAAGCUAUUUAACUUUACCAUCAAAGUUACAUAGAGUUUGUCACCCACUCUGUCAACAAACCAAUAGUAAGCAUGCCUCCAUUUCCUAAUAAGAAACAAAGAACCAAAAAUCCAACUCCCAUGCCUCGAUACAACGAUUCUCUUAUAGAGUCACCGAAGUUACAGAAGCAGCAACUUCACAUUAACAUCACAGAAAAAUUGCUUCAGCAUUGAAUUAACGAAUUGUGAAGAAUGGAGAAAGGAAGAAUACCUGGUUAGAGCGAUUGGAAUCAAUUGGAGAGUAUGAGCUUGGUUCGAUUGGAAGAGAACAUCAUCGAUUAGGGUUCAAUUGGAGAGAUCAUCGUGAAUUUGGGAUUUAGGGUUCAUCGUUUAGGGUUCAAUUGGAGCUUGGAGAUAUCAGAAUCAUGCACAUGGUGAUGAUGUUGUUUGCGAAUUGCGACUUUGCGUGAAUGAAUUUUGUGCGUGAAUGGUGAAUGACCAAUUAGAGUGGUUUUUGUGCGUGAAUUA
This 1071-nucleotide long non-coding RNA is filed under the name Trifolium pratense (red clover). RNAcentral's name for it is "long non-coding RNA (TPRA_LNC012242)". Lineage: Eukaryota; Viridiplantae; Streptophyta; Magnoliopsida; Fabales; Fabaceae. The record is from RNAcentral.